CCUACGGGAGGCAGCAGUGAGGAAUAUUGGUCAAUGGGCGGAAGCCUGAACCAGCCAAGUCGCGUGAGGGAAUAAGGCCCUACGGGUCGUAAACCUCUUUUGCCGGGGAGCAAGGGCGGGGACGUGUCCCGGCCCGGAGAGUACCCGGAGAAAAAGCAUCGGCUAACUCCGUGCCAGCAGCCGCGGUAAUACGGAGGAUGCGAGCGUUAUCCGGAUUUAUUGGGUUUAAAGGGUGCGUAGGCGGAUUUUUAAGUCAGCGGUAAAAUGUCCGGGCUCAACCCGGGCCGGCCGUUGAAACUGGGGAUCUUGAGUGGGCGAGAAGUAUGCGGAAUGCGUGGUGUAGCGGUGAAAUGCAUAGAUAUCACGCAGAACUCCGAUUGCGAAGGCAGCAUACCGGCGCCCGACUGACGCUGAGGCACGAAAGCGUGGGGAUCGAACAGGAUUAGAUACCCCUGUAGUC
RNAcentral lists this ribosomal RNA (460 nucleotides) under uncultured bacterium. RNAcentral's name for it is "partial 16S ribosomal RNA". It matches the Rfam family "Bacterial small subunit ribosomal RNA", at positions 338 to 795 of the family's 1533-position model. The record is from RNAcentral.